CGUAGACGACGCUGGCGGCGUGCCUAACACAUGCAAGGUCAACGGGGAUUUGUUUCGGCAGAAUCCUAGGGGCGAACGGGUGAGUAACGCGUAGGCAACCUGCCCUCCGGCCGGGGACAACACUCCAAAGGGGUGCUAAUACCGGAUACGAAGUCUGUGCCGCAUGUACGGAUUUGAAAGAUGGCCUCUAUUUACAAGCUAUCGCCGGGGGAUGGGCCUGCGUCCGAUUAGCUGGUUGGUGGGGUAACGGCCUACCAAGGCGACGAUCGGUAGCCGGUCUGAGAGGAUGAACGGCCACAUUGGGACUCGAGACACGGCCCAGACUCCUACGGGAGGCAGCAGUGGGGAAUCUUCCGCAAUGGGCGCAAGCCUGACGGAGCAACGCCGCGUGAGUGAGGAAGUUCUUCGGAACGUAAAGCUCUGUUGUUCCUGACGAACCUCCCCUUUAUCAACAACGGAAGGGACUGACGGUAGGGAACGAGGAAGCCACGGCUAACUACGUGCCAGCCGCAGC
This 514-nucleotide ribosomal RNA is filed under the name uncultured bacterium. RNAcentral's name for it is "bacterial SSU rRNA". It matches the Rfam family "Bacterial small subunit ribosomal RNA", at positions 33 to 518 of the family's 1533-position model. The record is from RNAcentral.